UGCUGCAUUGGACUAGGAACCUAGUACACCAAAUUAAGUCUGGAAACCUGAAUUCCAGUCCGUUCACAAUUUGCAGACAGCUUUUCAGUCUGAGUCGCAAUGGCCAAAAAGAA
Bubalus bubalis (water buffalo) is the source of this 113-nucleotide long non-coding RNA. RefSeq lists it as uncharacterized. Lineage: Eukaryota; Metazoa; Chordata; Mammalia; Artiodactyla; Bovidae. The record is from RefSeq and is a predicted model, not a curated record. The transcript has 2 exons.